UAUCUCUCCGUACGGGGAAGGAUGAGAAGCUUCGACUAAGGUUCGAUUCGAGCGAAAGCGAGAAA
RNAcentral lists this small RNA (65 nucleotides) under Salmonella enterica. RNAcentral describes it as "partial RtT sRNA". It matches the Rfam family "RtT RNA", at positions 1 to 64 of the family's 130-position model. Rfam says of the family: This family represents a bacterial cis-regulatory element known as RtT RNA. Lineage: Bacteria; Pseudomonadati; Pseudomonadota; Gammaproteobacteria; Enterobacterales; Enterobacteriaceae. The record is from RNAcentral. RNAcentral also lists the same sequence under 3 other names.